AUUGCCCUAGUAACGGCGAGUGAAGCGGCAACAGCUCAAAUUUGAAAUCUGGCCCUAGUGGUCCGAGUUGUAAUUUGUAGAGGAUGCUUUGGGUGCGGUGCCUUCCGAGUUCCCUGGAACGGGACGCCAGAGAGGGUGAGAGCCCCGUACGGUUGGACACCUAGCCUAUAUAUAGCUCCUUCGACGAGUCGAGUAGUUUGGGAAUGCUGCUCUAAAUGGGAGGUAUAUUUCUUCUAAAGCUAAAUACCGGCCAGAGACCGAUAGCGCACAAGUAGAGUGAUCGAAAGAUGAAAAGCACUUUGAAAAGAGGGUUAAAUAGCACGUGAAAUUGUUGAAAGGGAAGCGUUUGCGACCAGACCUUUUCCGGGCGGAUCAUCCGGCGUUCUCGCCGGUGCACUUCGCCCGGUUUAGGCCAGCAUCGGUUUUCUUAGGGGGAUAAAGGCCAGGGGAACGUAGCUCUUUCGGGAGUGUUAUAGCCCCUGGCGUAAUACCCUUCGGGGGACCGAGGACCGCGCUUUUGCAAGGAUGCUGGCGUAAUGGUCGUCAACGACCCGUCUUGAAACACGGACCAAGGAGUCGAACAUUGGUGCGAGUGUUUGGGUGUUAAACCCUCACGCGUAAUGAAAGUGAACGGAGGUGAGAGCCCUUACGGGUGCAUCAUCGACCGAUCCUGAUGUCUUCGGAUGGAUUUGAGUAAGAGCAUCACUGUUCGGACCCGAAAGAUGGUGAACUAUGCGUGGAUAGGGUGAAGCCAGAGGAAACUCUGGUGGAGGCUCGCAGCGGUUCUGACGUGCAAAUCGAUCGUCAAAUCUGCGC
RNAcentral lists this ribosomal RNA (816 nucleotides) under Hypoxylon griseobrunneum. RNAcentral's name for it is "partial large subunit ribosomal RNA". It matches the Rfam family "Eukaryotic large subunit ribosomal RNA", at positions 74 to 916 of the family's 3401-position model. The record is from RNAcentral. Lineage: Eukaryota; Fungi; Ascomycota; Sordariomycetes; Xylariales; Hypoxylaceae.